Molecule: ribosomal RNA, 360 nt
Filed under: uncultured bacterium
Lineage: Bacteria
Description: partial 16S ribosomal RNA
Rfam family: Bacterial small subunit ribosomal RNA
Source: RNAcentral
CCUACGGGUGGCUGCAGUGAGGAAUAUUGGUCAAUGGGCGCGAGCCUGAACCAGCCAAGUCGCGUGAGGGAAGACGGUCCUAUGGAUUGUAAACCUCUUUUGUCGGGGAGCAAAAGACGCUACGCGUGUCGUUCUGAGAGUAUCCGACGAAAAAGCAUCGGCUAACUCCGUGCCAGCAGCCGCGGUAAUACGGAGGAUGCGAGCGUUAUUCGGAAUUAUUGGGUGUAAAGGGUGCGCAGGCGGAAGAUCAAGUCAGCGGUAAAAUUGAGAGGCUCAACCUCUGCGCGGCGUUGAAACUGGUUAUCUUGAGUGAGCGAGAAGUAUGCGGAAUGCGUGGUGUAGCGGUGAAAUGCAUAGAUA